CACGCCAGUGGCACAGCUGGGUAGUCACGUUUGGAAUAGAUAACCGCUGAAAGCAUCUAAGCGGGAAACUAACUUCAAGAUAAGUAUUCUUUAAGAUACCUUCGAGACAAGGAGGUUGAUAGGUUGGGGGUGUAAGUACAGCAAUGUAUUUAGCUGACCAAUACUAAUUAUCGAAGUUUUAAUCUA
This 186-nucleotide ribosomal RNA is filed under the name Fusobacterium simiae. Its description in RNAcentral is "partial 23S ribosomal RNA". It matches the Rfam family "Bacterial large subunit ribosomal RNA", at positions 2725 to 2925 of the family's 2925-position model. Lineage: Bacteria; Fusobacteriati; Fusobacteriota; Fusobacteriia; Fusobacteriales; Fusobacteriaceae. The record is from RNAcentral.